AGUGAACGCUGGCGGUAGGCCUAACACAUGCAAGUCGAACGGCAGCACAGUAAGAGCUUGCUCUUACGGGUGGCGAGUGGCGGACGGGUGAGGAAUACAUCGGAAUCUACUUUUUCGUGGGGGAUAACGUAGGGAAACUUACGCUAAUACCGCAUACGACCUACGGGUGAAAGCAGGGGAUCUUCGGACCUUGCGCGAUUGAAUGAGCCGAUGUCGGAUUAGCUAGUUGGCGGGGGAAAGGCCCACCAAGGCGACGAUCCGUAGCUGGUCUGAGAGGAUGAUCAGCCACACUGGAAGUGAGACACGGUACAGACUCCUACGGGAGGCAGCAGUGGGGAAUAUUGGGCAAUGGGCGCAAGCCUGAUCCAGCCAUACCGAGUGGGUGAAGAAGGCCUUCGGGUUGUAAAGCCCUUUUGUUGGGAAAGAAAAGCAGCAGGUUAAUACCCCGCUGUUCUGACGGUACCCAAAGAAUAAGCACCGGCUAACUUCGUG
This 492-nucleotide ribosomal RNA is filed under the name uncultured bacterium. RNAcentral describes it as "partial 16S ribosomal RNA". It matches the Rfam family "Bacterial small subunit ribosomal RNA", at positions 29 to 507 of the family's 1533-position model. The record is from RNAcentral.